This 378-nucleotide unclassified non-coding RNA is filed under the name Hevea brasiliensis (rubber tree). Lineage: Eukaryota; Viridiplantae; Streptophyta; Magnoliopsida; Malpighiales; Euphorbiaceae. The record is from RNAcentral.
UAAAACCCAACCUAGGCUUUUGAUGUCUACGGCCAGUAGUCGUUCUAAGUCUAUUGGGAAAGCACGUUUACCGGAGCCCAAGUCUAAGAACAAAGACAGUGCUAGAGAUUUAUUAGACAAGGAUAGUAAUAACAAGUCCAUGUGGAGUUGGAAGAGCUUAAAGUCAUUAACUCAUGUUAAAAAUCAAAGGUUCAAUUGCUCUUUUUCGCUUCAAGUCCAUUGCAUUGAAGGGAUACCUGCAUUUUUUAAUGACCUUAGUCUUGUCGUGCAUUGGAGGAGGCGACAUGCUGAGUUGAUGACAUGUCCUGUGUUGGUUUCUCAAGGUGUAGCUCACUUUGAGGAAGAUUUGAGCUAUACAUGUUCUAUAUAUGGCAGUAG